UACGAAGGGGGCUAGCGUUGCUCGGAAUCACUGGGCGUAAAGGGUGCGUAGGCGGGUUUUUAAGUCAGGGGUGAAAUCCUGGAGCUCAACUCCAGAACUGCCUUUGAUACUGAAGAUCUUGAGUCCGGGAGAGGUGAGUGGAACUGCGAGUGUAGCGGUGAAAUGCGUAGAUAUUGGGAGGAACACCAGUGGCGAAGGCGGCUCACUGGACCGGUACUGACGCUGAGGCGCGAAAGCGUGGGGAGCAAACGGG
This 253-nucleotide ribosomal RNA is filed under the name uncultured bacterium. RNAcentral describes it as "partial 16S ribosomal RNA". It matches the Rfam family "Bacterial small subunit ribosomal RNA", at positions 524 to 776 of the family's 1533-position model. The record is from RNAcentral.